This 1387-nucleotide ribosomal RNA is filed under the name bacterium 59(2010). RNAcentral's name for it is "16S ribosomal RNA". It matches the Rfam family "Bacterial small subunit ribosomal RNA", at positions 90 to 1459 of the family's 1533-position model. The record is from RNAcentral.
GAUUAGUGGCGAACGGUGAGUAACACGUGAGUAACCUGCCCUUAACUCUGGGAUAAGCCUUGGAAACGGGGUCUAAUACUGGAUAUUGACUUUACCUCGCAUGGGGUUUGGUUGAAAGAUUUAUUGGUUUUGGAUGGACUCGCGGCCUAUCAGCUUGUUGGUGAGGUAAUGGCUCACCAAGGCGACGACGGGUAGCCGGCCUGAGAGGGUGACCGGCCACACUGGGACUGAGACACGGCCAAGACUCCUACGGGAGGCAGCAGUGGGGAAUAUUGCACAAUGGGCGAAAGCCUGAUGCAGCGACGCCGCGUGAGGGAUGACGGCCUUCGGGUUGUAAACCUCUUUCAGUAGGGAACAAGGCCAGCAUUUUUGUUGGUUGAGGGUACUUGCAGAAGAAGCGCCGGCUAACUACGUGCCAGCAGCCGCGGUAAUACGUAGGGCGCAAGCGUUAUCCGGAAUUAUUGGGCGUAAAGAGCUCGUAGGCGGUUUGUCGCGUCUGCCGUGAAAGUCCGGGGCUCAACUCCGGAUCUGCGGUGGGUACGGGCAGACUAGAGUGAUGUAGGGGAGACUGGAAUUCCUGGUGUAGCGGUGAAAUGCGCAGAUAUCAGGAGGAACACCGAUGGCGAAGGCAGGUCUCUGGGCAUUAACUGACGCUGAGGAGCGAAAGCAUGGGGAGCGAACAGGAUUAGAUACCCUGGUAGUCCAUGCCGUAAACGUUGGGCACUAGUGUGGGGGACAUUCCACGUUUUCCGCGCCGUAGCUAACGCAUUAAGUGCCCCGCCUGGGGAGUACGGCCGCAAAGGCUAAAAACUCAAAGCAAAUUUGACGGGGGGCCCCCGCCACAAGCGGCGGAGCAUCGGAUUAAUGUCGAUGGCAACCGCCGAAGAACGCUUACCAAGGCUUGGACAUGAACUGGAAAUACGCUGGAAACAGGUGCCCCGCUUGCGUUGGGUUUACAGGUGGUGCAUGGUUUGUCGUCAGCUCGUGUCGUGAGAUGUUGGGUUAAGUCCCGCAACGAGCGCAACCCUCGUUCUAUGUUGCCAGCACGUGAUGGUGGGGACUCAUAGGAGACUGCCGGGGUCAACUCGGAGGAAGGUGAGGACGACGUCAAAUCAUCAUGCCCCUUAUGUCUUGGGCUUCACGCAUGCUACAAUGGCCGGUACAAUGGGUUGCGAUACUGUGAGGUGGAGCUAAUCCCAAAAAGCCGGUCUCAGUUCGGAUUGGGGUCUGCAACUCGACCCCAUGAAGUCGGAGUCGCUAGUAAUCGCAGAUCAGCAACGCUGCGGUGAAUACGUUCCCGGGCCUUGUACACACCGCCCGUCAAGUCACGAGUUGGUAACACCCGAAGCCGGUGGCACUAACCCCCUUGUGGGGAGGAGACUGUCGA